GCUUGCUUGUUGGGGUUGUAGGACACUCUAUACGGAGUUACAAAGGACGACAUUAGACGAAUCAUCUGGAAAGAUGAAUCAAAGAAGGUAAUAAUCCUGUAGUCGAAAAUGUUGUCUCUCUUGAGUGGAUCCUGAGUACGACGGAGCACGUGAAAUUCCGUCGGAAUCUGGGAGGACCAUCUCCUAAGGCUAAAUACUCUCUAGUGACCGAUAGUGAACCAGUACCGUGAGGGAAAGGUGAAAAGCACCCCGGAAGGGGAGUGAAAUAGAACCUGAAACCGUGUGCUUACAAGUAGUCAGAGCCCGUUAAUGGGUGAUGGCGUGCCUUUUGUAGAAUGAACCGGCGAGUUACGAUUUGAUGCAAGGUUAAGCAGUAAAUGUGGAGCCGUAGCGAAAGCGAGUCUGAAUAGGGCGUUUAGUAUUUGGUCGUAGACCCGAAACCAGGUGAUCUACCCUUGGUCAGGUUGAAGUUCAGGUAACACUGAAUGGAGGACCGAACCGACUUACGUUGAAAAGUGAGCGGAUGAACUGAGGGUAGCGGAGAAAUUCCAAUCGAACCUGGAGAUAGCUGGUUCUCUCCGAAAUAGCUUUAGGGCUAGCCUCAAGUGAUGAUUAUUGGAGGUAGAGCACUGUUUGGACGAGGGGCCCCUCUCGGGUUACCGAAUUCAGACAAACUCCGAAUGCCAAUUAAUUUAACUUGGGAGUCAGAACAUGGGUGAUAAGGUCCGUGUUCGAAAGGGAAACAGCCCAGACCACCAGCUAAGGUCCCAAAAUAUAUGUUAAGUGGAAAAGGAUGUGGCGUUGCCCAGA
RNAcentral lists this ribosomal RNA (810 nucleotides) under Staphylococcus aureus. RNAcentral describes it as "partial 23S ribosomal RNA". It matches the Rfam family "Bacterial large subunit ribosomal RNA", at positions 283 to 1089 of the family's 2925-position model. The record is from RNAcentral. Lineage: Bacteria; Bacillati; Bacillota; Bacilli; Caryophanales; Staphylococcaceae.